RNAcentral lists this ribosomal RNA (497 nucleotides) under uncultured bacterium. RNAcentral's name for it is "partial 16S ribosomal RNA". It matches the Rfam family "Bacterial small subunit ribosomal RNA", at positions 28 to 507 of the family's 1533-position model. The record is from RNAcentral.
GAUGAACGCUGGCGGCGUGCCUAAUACAUGCAAGUCGAGCGAACAGAUGAGGAGCUUGCUCCUCUGACGUUAGCGGCGGACGGGUGAGUAACACGUGGAUAACCUACCUAUAAGACUGGGAUAACUUCGGGAAACCGGAGCUAAUACCGGAUAAUAUAUUGAACCGCAUGGUUCAAUAGUGAAAGACGGUUUUGCUGUCACUUAUAGAUGGAUCCGCGCCGCAUUAGCUAGUUGGUAAGGUAACGGCUUACCAAGGCAACGAUGCGUAGCCGACCUGAGAGGGUGAUCGGCCACACUGGAACUGAGACACGGUCCAGACCCCUACGGGAGGCAGCAGUAGGGAAUCUUCCGCAAUGGGCGAAUGCUUGACGGAGCAACGCCGCGUGAGUGAUGAAGGUCUUCGGAUCGUAAAACUCUGUUAUUAGGGAAGAACAAAUGUGUAAGUAACUAUGCACGUCUUGACGGUACCUAAUCAGAAAGCCACGGCUAACUACGUG